CAAAACUAGAUUAAAAUUAACAACACUGACUAAGCAUGUAGAGUCAUAGUUCUAGCUACUUUAGGACAGGGGUUCAAUUCCCCUCACCUCCACCA
Molecule: transfer-messenger RNA, 95 nt
Filed under: Sulfurovum sp.
Lineage: Bacteria; Pseudomonadati; Campylobacterota; Epsilonproteobacteria; Campylobacterales; Sulfurovaceae
Description: partial transfer-messenger RNA
Rfam family: transfer-messenger RNA
About the family: Bacterial tmRNA, also known as 10Sa RNA or SsrA, is named for its dual tRNA and mRNA-like properties. Its role is to liberate the mRNA from a stalled ribosome.
Source: RNAcentral